AUGCAAGUCGAGCGAGAAAGUUUCUUCGGAAACGAGUAAAGCGGCGGACGGGUGAGUAACGCGUAGGAAUCUACCAUUCAGUGGGGGAUAGCUCGGGGAAACCCGAAUUAAUACCGCAUAUACCCUAAGGGGGAAAGAGGGCCUAUCCUUGGAAGCUCUUGCUGUUUGAUGAGCCUGCGUGAGAUUAGUUUGUUGGUGAGGUAAUGGCUCACCAAGGCUACGAUCUCUAGCUGGUCUGAGAGGACGAUCAGCCACACUGGGACUGAGACACGGCCCAGACUCCUACGGGAGGCAGCAGUGGGGAAUAUUGGACAAUGGGGGCAACCCUGAUCCAGGCAUGCCGCGUGUGUGAAGAAGGCCUUCGGGUUGUAAAGCACUUUAGGUAAGGAAGAAAAGUCAUUGGUUAAUACUCAAUGACCAUGACAUUACUUACAGAAUAAGGACCGGCUAACUCCGUGCCAGCAGCCGCGGUAAUACGGAGGGUCCAAGCGUUAAUCGGAAUUACUGGGCGUAAAGCGCGCGUAGGCGGUUUGACAAGUUGGGUGUGAAAUCCCCGGGCUUAACCUGGGAACUGCAUUCAAAACUUUUAAACUGGAGUACGGGAGAGGAGAGUAGAAUUCAUGGUGUAGCGGUGAAAUGCGUAGAUAUCAUGAGGAAUACCAAUGGCGAAGGCAACUCUCUGGACCGUAACUGACGCUGAGGUGCGAAAGCGUGGGUAGCAAACAGGAUUAGAUACCCUGGUAGUCCACGCCGUAAACGAUGACAACUAGCCGUUGGACCUUUGGGUUCAGUGGCACAGCUAACGCAUUAAGUUGUCCGCCUGGGGAGUACGGCCGCAAGGCUAAAACUCAAAUGAAUUGACGGGGGCCCGCACAAGCGGUGGAGCAUGUGGUUUAAUUCGAUGCAACGCGAAAAACCUUACCAACCCUUGACAUCUAGUGAAAUUUCUAGAGAUAGAUUUGUGCCUUCGGGAA
Molecule: ribosomal RNA, 974 nt
Filed under: uncultured marine bacterium
Lineage: Bacteria
Description: bacterial SSU rRNA
Rfam family: Bacterial small subunit ribosomal RNA
Source: RNAcentral